ACUGAGACACGGCCCAGACUCCUACGGGAGGCAGCAGUGGGGAAUAUUGCACAAUGGGGGAAACCCUGAUGCAGCAACGCCGCGUGAGUGAUGACGGUCUUCGGAUUGUAAAACUCUGUCUUCAGGGACGAUAAUGACGGUACCUGAGGAGGAAGCCACGGCUAACUACGUGCCAGCAGCCGCGGUAAUACGUAGGUGGAAGCGUUGUCCGGAUUUACUGGGCGUAAAGGGAGCGUAGGUGGAUAUUUAAGUGG
Molecule: ribosomal RNA, 254 nt
Filed under: uncultured bacterium
Lineage: Bacteria
Description: partial 16S ribosomal RNA
Rfam family: Bacterial small subunit ribosomal RNA
Source: RNAcentral